This 1491-nucleotide ribosomal RNA is filed under the name uncultured Bordetella sp. RNAcentral describes it as "partial 16S-23S ribosomal RNA intergenic spacer". It matches the Rfam family "Bacterial small subunit ribosomal RNA". The record is from RNAcentral. Lineage: Bacteria; Pseudomonadati; Pseudomonadota; Betaproteobacteria; Burkholderiales; Alcaligenaceae.
AGUUCGAUCAUGGCUCAAGAUUGAACGCUGGCGGGAUGUACUUUACACAUGCAAAAUCGAACGGCAGCACGGACUUCGGUCUGGUGGCGAGUGGCGAACAGGUGAGUAAUGUAUCCGGAACGUGCCUAGUAGCAGAGUCGCCGCGGCGCAGCUAAUGCCGCAUACGCCCUUCAGGGGAAAGCGGGGGACCUUCGGGCCUCGCACUAUUAGAGCGGCCGAUAUCGGAUUAGCUGGUUAAUUGAGGUAACAGCUCGCAAGGCGACGAUCCGUAGCUGGUUUGAGAGGACGACCAGCCACACUGGGACUGAGACCUGGCCCCAGACUCCUACGGGAGGCAGCAGUGGGGGAAUUUUGGACAAUGGGGGAAACCUGAUCCAGCCAUCCGUGUGAUGAAGGCCUUCGGGUUGUAAGCACUUUUGGCGAGGAAAACGGCACGGGAUAAUACCCCGUGCAGCGUACCUGCAGAAUAAGCUGCCAGCUAACGUACCAGCGGCCGCGGUAAUACGUAAGGUGCAAGCGUUAAUCGGAAUUACUGGGCGUAAAGCGUGCGCAGGCGGUUCGGAAAGAAGAUGUGAAAUCCCCAGAGCUUAACUGGAACUGCGUUUUAACUACCGAAGGCUAGGAGGUGUGUCAGAGGUGGAAUUCCGCGUGUAGCAGUGAAAUGCGUAGAUAUGCCGGAGGAGGAACACCGAUGGCGAAGGCAACCUCCUGGGAUAACACUGACGCUCAUGCACGAAAACGUGGGAGCAAGCAGGAUUGAAUACCCUGGUAGUCCACGCCUAAACGAUGUCAACUAGCUGUUGGGGCCUUCGGGCCUUGGUAGCGCAACUAACGCGUGAAGUUGACCGCCUGGGGAGUACGGUCGCAGAAUUAAAACUCAAGGAAUUGACGGGGACCCGCACAAGCGGUGGAUGAUGUGGAUUAAUUCGAUACAGCUUUGCGAAAAACCUUACCUACCCUUGACAUGUCUGGAAUCCCGAAGAGAUUUGGGAGUGUUCGCAAGAGAACCGGAACACAGGUGCUGCAUGGCUUAUCGUCAGCUCGUGUCAUUGAGAUGUUGAGUUAAGUCCCGCAGGCGCAGCCCUUGUCAUUGAAUUUGCUACGAAAGACUUUCGUGAGACUGCCGGUAUUGGCAAACCGGAGGAAGGAGUGAGAUGUUGACGUCAAGUCCUCAUGGCCCUUAUGGGUAGAGCUUCCCCGCACAAUCUGUGGUCACUGGGACGACAGAGGGUCGCCAGCCGCGAGGGGAGCCGUCCCAGAAACCCGAUCGUAGUCCGGAUCACCGGUCUACCCCGCAGCUCGACUGCGCACAUUGGGAAUAUGGAAUCGCUGGUAAUCGCGGAUCAGCAUGUCGCGGUGAAUACGUUCCGGAUCACCUGCACACCGCCCGUCACACCAUGGGAGUGGGUUUUACCAAGUAGUUAGCCUAACCGUAAGGAGGGCGAUUACAGUAGGAUUCAUGACUGGGGUGAAGUCGUAACAAGGUAACUC